This 464-nucleotide ribosomal RNA is filed under the name uncultured bacterium. RNAcentral describes it as "bacterial SSU rRNA". It matches the Rfam family "Bacterial small subunit ribosomal RNA", at positions 338 to 795 of the family's 1533-position model. The record is from RNAcentral.
CCUACGGGUGGCAGCAGUGGGGAAUUUUCCACAAUGGGCGAAAGCCUGAUGGAGCAACGCCGCGUGUGUGAUGAAGGUCUUCGGAUCGUAAAGCACUUUCGACCGGGACGAAAACCCUCUGGCUAACAUCCAGGGGCUUGACGGUACCGGGAGAAGAAGCACCGGCUAACUCUGUGCCAGCAGCCGCGGUAAUACAGAGGGUGCAAGCGUUGUUCGGAAUUAUUGGGCGUAAAGCGCGUGUAGGCGGCUUGGCAAGUCAGAUGUGAAAGCCCUCGGCUUAACCGAGGAAGUGCGUCUGAAACUGCCGAGCUUGAGUCUCGGAGAGGAUGGCGGAAUUCCGCAAGUAGAGGUGAAAUUCGUAGAUAUGCGGAGGAACACCGGUGGCGAAGGCGGCCAUCUGGACGAGAACUGACGCUGAGACGCGAAAGCGUGGGGAGCAAACAGGAUUAGAUACCCCAGUAGUC